RNAcentral lists this ribosomal RNA (253 nucleotides) under uncultured bacterium. RNAcentral's name for it is "partial 16S ribosomal RNA". It matches the Rfam family "Bacterial small subunit ribosomal RNA", at positions 524 to 776 of the family's 1533-position model. The record is from RNAcentral.
UACAGAGGGGGCAAGCGUUGUUCGGAAUUACUGGGCGUAAAGGGCGCGUAGGCGGCCUUCUAAGUCGAACGUGAAAUCCCCGGGCUCAACCCGGGAACUGCGUCCGAUACUGGAAGGCUUGAAUCCGGGAGAGGGAUGCGGAAUUCCAGGUGUAGCGGUGAAAUGCGUAGAUAUCAGGAAGAACACCCGUGGCGAAGGCGGCUCUCUGGGACGGUACUGACGCUGAGACGCGAAAGCGUGGGGAGCGAACAGG